UGGCUCAGGAUGAACGCUAGCUACAGGCUUAACACAUGCAAGUCGAGGGGCAGCAUUUUAGUUUGCUUGCAAACUGAAGAUGGCGACCGGCGCACGGGUGAGUAACACGUAUCCAACCUGCCGAUAACUCCGGGAUAGCCUUUCGAAAGAAAGAUUAAUACCGGAUAGCAUACGAAUAUCGCAUGAUAUUUUUAUUAAAGAAUUUCGGUUAUCGAUGGGGAUGCGUUCCAUUAGUUUGUUGGCGGGGUAACGGCCCACCAAGACUACGAUGGAUAGGGGUUCCGAGAGGAAGGUCCCCCACAUUGGAACUGAGACACGGUCCAAACUCCUACGGGAGGCAGCAGUGAGGAAUAUUGGUCAAUGGGCGCGAGCCUGAACCAGCCAAGUAGCGUGAAGGAUGAAGGCUCUAUGGGUCGUAAACUUCUUUUAUAUGGGAAUAAAGUUUUCCACGUGUGGAAUUUUGUAUGUACCAUAUGAAUAAAGAUCGGCUAACUCCGUGCCAGCAGCCGCGGUAAUACGGAGGAUCCGAGCGUUAUCCGGAUUUAUUGGGUUUAAAGGGAGCGUAGGUGGAUUGUUAAGUCAGUUGUGAAAAUUUGCGGCUCAACCGUAAAAUUGCAGUUGAAACUGGCAGUCUUGAGUACAGUAGAGGUGGGCGGAAUUCGUGGUGUAGCGGUGAAAUGCUUAGAUAUCACGAAGAACUCCGAUUGCGAAGGCAGCUCACUAGACUGUCACUGACACUGAUGCUCGAAAGUGUGGGUAUCAAACAGGAUUAGAUACCCUGGUAGUCCACACAGUAAACGAUGAAUACUCGCUGUAUGCGAUAUACAGUAAGCGGCCAAGCGAAAGCAUUAAGUAUUCCACCGGGGGAGUACGCCGGCAACGGUGAAACUCAAAGGAAUUGACGGGGGCCCGCACAAGCGGAGGAACAUGUGGUUUAAUUCGAUGAUACGCGAGGAACCUUACCCGGGUUUGAAAGCAUUUCGACCGCUCUGGAAACAGAGCCUCUAGCAAUAGCGAUUUGCGAGGUGCUGCAUGGUUGUCGUCAGCUCGUGCCGUGAGGUGUCGGCUUAAGUGCCAUAACGAGCGCAACCCUUGCCACUAGUUACUAACAGGUAAAGCUGAGGACUCUGGUGGGACUGCCAGCGUAAGCUGCGAGGAAGGCGGGGAUGACGUCAAAUCAGCACGGCCCUUACAUCCGGGGCGACACACGUGUUACAAUGGCGUGGACAAAGGGAUGCCACCUGGCGACAGGGAGCGAAUCCCCAAACCACGUCUCAGUUCGGAUCGGAGUCUGCAACCCGACUCCGUGAAGCUGGAUUCGCUAGUAAUCGCGCAUCAGCCAUGGCGCGGUGAAUACGU
This 1359-nucleotide ribosomal RNA is filed under the name uncultured bacterium. RNAcentral describes it as "16S ribosomal RNA". It matches the Rfam family "Bacterial small subunit ribosomal RNA", at positions 20 to 1371 of the family's 1533-position model. The record is from RNAcentral.